AAAGUCUUGCAUUGUUGGGCAGCCUGGGUGGUGCAGUGGUUUAGUGCCGCCUGCAGCCCGGGGCCUGGUCCUGGAGACCCGGGAUCGAGUCGAGUCCCAUGUCGGGCUCCCUGCAUGGAGCCUGCUCCUCCCUCUGCCUGUGUCUUUGCCUCUCUCUCUCUCUCUUUCUCUCUCUCUCUUGUUCUGUGUGUCUCUAUGAAUAAAUAAAAAAUCUUUAAAAAAAGUCUUGCGUUGUUUACCUUGUUGUUUUAUUUUUCCAGCUGUGAUGAAGGCUAUACGGGGGCGAGAUGUGAGAGAGUUGACUUGUUUUACCUCAGAGGAGAUAGAGGGCAGAUUUUGGUGAUCUGUUUGAUAGCAGUUAUGGUCAUAUUUAUCAUUUUGGUGGUCGGUGUCUGCACAUGCUGUCAUCCACUGAGGAGGCGUCGUAAAAGAAGGAAGAAAGAAGAAGAAAUGGAAACUCUGGGUAAAGAUAUAACUCCAAUAAAUGAAGAUAUUCAAGAGACUAGUAUUGCUUAAUGGUAAGUGUGAUGAAUUUGGUAGAAGGGAUACUAUUCAGGUGAUAGUUACCUGAUGAAAUGGGCCUUAACUUUGUCUAGGAAAUCAAUGAGUAGAUUUUGAUUAUGCUUAGAAACAUCUAAAAGUAAAUCGAUUUUUUUCAUGCAAUCCAAAGCCAAAUAAAAGACUUUCUCAUAUCUCUCUUUUGUGUGUU
Molecule: long non-coding RNA, 709 nt
Filed under: Vulpes vulpes (red fox)
Lineage: Eukaryota; Metazoa; Chordata; Mammalia; Carnivora; Canidae
Description: lncRNA (ENSVVUG00000023968.1)
Source: RNAcentral